UGGUGCCUGGUACAUAGUAAAUAAUAAAUAUUGAUCAAAUAAAUGAAUUAUUAGUUGAAUGAAGAAUGAAUGAACGAGUCCCUUCUUUUUCCUCCACUGCCUCAUCUGACAAAUAGGAAUAAUGCAAACUACCUUAUUUGCUUUUGGACUUAAAUAAGAAUCUGCAAGUGGAGGCACUUAAUACACUGCUUUGGCCAAUAAAUUCAGUAAAUGGAUGCUAAAUAAAUGUGAAUCUAGCUGAAUAUGAGUGAAAGACUAACUCCUAUGGAGGUUACUUUUUGGAAUAAUGGUAACUGUCAGAAUUUUCUAAUGCCAUGAAGACAGAAUGCUUGAUACCAUAGUGUCACUUACUGAGUGGUAUUUUGUCAGCAGAAUAUUAAUAAACCCACAUUUACACUCCUUCUUUUAUAGAGUGUAUAUUUAAUCAAAGACAAAGUUAUUUUUUUUUUAGUUUUAGAUUUUAGUGAUUGUAGGACAGUAUCAAGGGGAAACUGUUAGUAUUACGGUCCUUGAAUUUUGGCUCUGCCCUUCACUAGUGUGAAUGCUUUAGGAUACUGCUUACUCCCUUAGUCAUCCUUAACUUCUUCCUUUGUAGAAGAAAAUUGUAAAUAGCUAUAUCUCAGAUUUAAUAUAAGAAUUUUAUGUUCUUGUUUUAUAAACCGUAAUAAAUACGAGUUGCUACUGUUCUUUUUACUACUACUUCUACCACAGCCACCACCACUGCCACCAACCACCACUACCAAGUAACAACGUCUUGGAGUUUCGAAGCCAAACUCUAAGGAAAAAAUGCUACCCACUAUUAAUUUUUCUCAUUAACUUUUAGCAGAUCUUGAAAUCCAAAGGGAAGCUGGAACCAGGACAAAUUGAAUUAACUGAUCAUAUCCACUGGCAGAACCCAGAAGCUGCUAUUUCCACCAAUAAGCUGUCCUUUGGUUCCUGUCCCUUUGAUCUCCACAGCCCCUUAGGACUCUCCUGCUGUCCAAGGGAGGUUCCAAUAGUCUGACAGAUCUUUAGGACAGCAUCCCUUAAAUAACAAGCAGGUGGUUGCCUUGCAAGUGAGAAGUUAUUGAUGACCCACAUGGCUAUUCUGUUGAUGAUUCAUUUUCUGUUUCCUGUCUAUGUGCUUUUCAGAAGGCAAGCAAGCAGUUUUACAUAAAUCAAUCUUUUCCUAUCGAGCUGACACUAUGUCAAGGAAGUCUGAAGAUGUGACCUCUGUCUCCUUGGUAUAGGGAUGUCAGUAAGACAAUGGGCCCUUGAAGGGUAGUCCAAAGAGCUCCUCUUGAAAAGUGAAUCAUGAUCCUUUAAGGUUAAAGAUUACACCGUAAAAGGGUUUAUUUGUUUAUUCUUUUUUCCUGAGGACUUAAAAAGAAAUAGCCUCUUCCCUUGCGUGCUAUUUUCUUGUCCACCUCUGCUAUCUUCCCUUCACCACUACUUCAUUUCUUUUUGGAGAGAUCACAGAAAACUGUGUGUGUGUGUGUGUUUCUCAAGAAGCACUAGGAAAAAAGAUAGCCCCCUUAAAAUAGAAUUACUGGGAACAUAUCUCCUUAAAAGAAGCUGAGAUAACAGAUUUCAUUAAAAUUGCUUUAAUGGAAUUGAAGGGAACUCUAUCAUUAAGAUGUGUUUACAGAAAGUAAGUAGAAAGUGAUUUUAUUAUUGAAUGUUUCUAAAUAUAUCCACCCACUCCUCCUCAACCAAGUAAUGCAGGUUUGUGGUUCCAGGAGAACUCAUAUAAUAUCACUGAAGGGAGGGAGAGAGAUCCAAACUGACCGUGACUCAGCAAGGUCACUCCUUAAUUAGCCAAAGCAGAGACAAACCUAGAAUUUCCUACUUUCAUAGUGGAAUAAUGUUUUGAAAUAUUACAACUAUGCUUCUUUACCCCAUAUUUUCUGUUAAAUUCACCAUAAUUCUCUUUUAGGCAGUAAUGAAAUUUGCAUUUUUCCUCACCUAUUCUAUAGUCUGUAUGCAGAAAGAAUAGGUCAGAUUUUGGGUUUCAGAAUCAACUCUGAGUUUAAGGCAGAUAAAGUUCUGGGAAGUUGAGAGAUUCUGCUGGUUAUCUUGCUUUCCAGGGAGUCAGACCCAGGAGACAGGAUGUCUUUUACUAUGGCCAAUAUGUCUUAGCUAAUAGAAUGGCUGCAGGAGGUGCCCAGGCAGGUAUGGGUAGCUUAGGAAUGUCCUGUCCCUUUGCGGUAUGGAGUGCAAAGUUGCAGAAUGUUGCUGCUCAGAGCUGGAGAAGUUUCCCAGUUGGAACAAGGACAAUGAUGGUAGGCACCAGAUGGGAACAUGCAUGUCUUAGCAGAUGGAUUGCCAUAGCAUGAUCUUGGUUUAUUAAAUCUCCCUUUACAAAAGAAGUCCUUGUCAUAUGAAAUUGUGGCAAUUGUAAACAUAUUUGGGAAAUAAACGGAGGAUGAUUAGGUAAGUUAAUAUAGUAGAACCUUGAGUGCUUGGCAUGAGAUUUUGACUUGAUAUAUUUGGCAACUAGGAAUAAUUGAUGUUUUUCUGGAAGAGGAGUGACAAGAUGAAAAAAAAAAGGCUUAAAUUGAAAGACUGCAAAAGACACUGGGGGAACAAAGACUUUAGAUUUUUAAGGAUAUGCACAUGCAUGGCUCAAUAAAUGCCUAUUGAAUGAGAACAAGAAUAAUUCUCUUUCUUUAGUAUGCUCAGUGAAAUCUAAAAGUAUUCUGUGAAUUUAGGGCAGAUAUGAAGAAGGUUUUCUUGGUGGGAAAUUGCUACCUUAUGAAAUAGAAGCUGAGGGAAGAUUUUGGGAACUCACUGUGGUUUAGACUUUCUUCUAGCCUAAAUGUCAAAGGUAAUUUUUCUGACUUUUCAAUACUAAGAUAUAGAUAGAUAUACGUAUAUCUCUAUAGAUAGGUAUAAAUGUAUAGAUCUCUAUUUUUAUCUAUGUACAUAUAUAUAUUGAUAUUUAGACACAUACAGCUGCUAUGCUUUGGAUAUUGUUUGUGUCCUGCAAAGGCUCAUGUGUCAAAAGCUUGAUCCUUGUACUGGGGUUGUGGCUCAGCAGUAGAGUGCUUGCCUAGCACGUGUGAAGCCCUGGGUUCAAUCCUCAGAACCAUGUAAAAGUAAAUAAAGAAAACAAAGGUAUUGUAUCCAACUAAAAAAUAAAUAUUUUUUUAAAAAAAGUUUGAUCCUUGGUCUGAUGAUAGAACCAGAGGGGGUUAGAACCUUUAAGAGGUGAGGCCUAGUGGUAUGUAAUUAGGUCAUUGGAGCUCCACCUUCAGUAGGGACUAUUGCUGGUCUCAGAGAGUAAGUUAGCUUCUGCAGGAGAGAAAUAUUAUAAAGGAGCAAGCCUGGCCACUCCCUGGUCUAAGGUUUCUGUCAAGAAAAAAGUCUGGAAAUAGGACCUCAGUCUCCUUGGAAGAGGGGAGUCAGGAAGAAAAUUAGGCUAAGGCCCUGUUCUUCAAAGAGAGUUAUGAAUCUUUAAGAUUAAUUAAAGAUUAUCCUGCUAAAAGUUGUAUCUGUUUAUGCUGUUUCCCUUGCCACUCGAUCCCUCUUGUUUGCACUUCUGCCAUUGUGUUGCUGUCUACCUUGUGACCCUUGACAGAGCCCAGCAGGUGCCAGCGCCAUGCCCUUGAACCUCCAAAACUGUGAGCUAAGUGAAUCUUCUUUCUAUACAAAUCACCUAGUCUCAGCUAUUUUUUUAUAGAAACAGAAAGCAGAUUAAUACAAUGACUUAGUUAACUCUAUUAUGCCAAGUUGUUAAAAAAAAAAACAAAAAAACCUUACAUGAAAAGACACAAAACCACCUUAAAUGCAUGGCACUAUGUGAAAAAAAAAAAAACAGUGUGAAAAGACUAUAAACUAUAUGAUUCCAACUCUGUGACAUCCUGGAAAAGGUAAACUACAGAGAUAGUAACAAAACAAAAUUCCCAAAAACCAAAAAUCAGGGAUUGAGAGGGAUUGGGUGGAAGGAUUAAAUAGGUAGAGUACACAGGCGUUUUAGGGCAGCAAAGCUAUUUUGUAUCAUGCCAUAAUGGAAAGUAAACGUCAUUCAACAUUUUUUAACACCCAUAGACCUACACAACACAAAGACUGAAUUCUCAUGUUACCUUAGACUAACAGUAAUAUGUCUAUUGUUUCUUAUGUUAGUCACCAUUUUGUCAUACCACCAAUAUCAGAGAUAAACCAACUUACAGAAAUAGAAGGUUUAUUUUGGCUUCUGGCUCAAGACUUCUGUCCAUGCUCAGUUGGCUCUUUUAAUUUAGGUUUGUGGGAAGGCAGUUCAUUAUGGGAUAGAGCCCACGGUAGAGCAAAGCUGCUCAACUCAUCACCAAGAUUUGAAAGAGAGACACAUGAAGGACCUGGGGUUUCAAUAUUUCUUUCAAGGGCAUGUCCUUAAAGGAUACAGACCUUCAACCCAUUGACCUUCAAGGGUAUUUAUCUAAAUUAUAACAGUUCACAAUUGAAACAAAUGUAAGAUGUUUGUUAUAUGGAAACUGUGUAUGAGGGGAGGAAAGGGAAUAUAUAUAUAAACUAUAUUUUUUACUAUUUUUAUAAGCCUACGGUUUCUCUAAAAGCAGUCUAUUGAUUAAAAAAAACCCUGUAAAUCAUCAAGAUGUGGAGGGAUGAAGAUUUUUUUAAUUUAGGGUAUCAUCUUUUCUUUACUAGCCUAUGAGUGAAAACAGGUGCACUUCCCUUUCCUUACUAUUUAGGAAGGAUUGAGAGGAAUUGAACCAUUAUUCUUCUCUGUCAUAUAGAAAUAAAAAUGAAUUAUAGCAGUCAGUUUCUUUCUGCCUACUCUAAACUGGAAGAUAGAGAAGAAGAAAGACCCUUUCUAUGACUUUUCUCCCUGGAAAUUGGUGGCUUGGGUUCCUGGCAGUUAAAGCAGCACACAUGUGAGCAGGCAUAUGGAAAUCAAAGGGCAGAGUGCAGCUGAGUCCAGUCCCCACUUAAUAUUUUACAAAAGCAAGGCCCAGUAUUCAGAAGGAAAUGGAAGAGUCCCCCUCCCGUUAUCUUAUCUCUUAUCUUAGAUUGUACCUGCUUCUCCAGCAUUUCCCUGAGAUUUACUACAGGUUACUCUUAUCAUUCUUUGGGCAAGUGCUGGUUCUCUUGGUGCCUCCCUAGCCUGCUGUGUGAUGCCACAUGGUAUUUCCAGUUUGUAUUUCAUUCUUAUCCAGCUAUUAGAGCAGACCUAGCCUUCUGUUGAUUUUUUUUAACUUUGUUGGAAAUUGAGCAGAUGGAUUUGAAUUCCUAAUUUUCUGCAAAAAUGUGCCAAGUACUUGUUCCUUUGUUCCUUAUUUUCCUCUUGACCAAUUCCUUGUGGGUUUACAUUUAUCCUCUUUAAAGGUCUCUAACUGAUGAGUCUUAUCUCACAGUGUUCUAGGAAUAUCCUUGAAGGUUAAGUUCUCUAGGAUUAACUCCGCUGCCUUUUUGUUUUGUUUUUGGUACUGGGGAUUGAACUCAGGGAUACUUGACCACUGUGCCACAUCUCCAGCCCUAUUUUGUAUUUUAUUUCGAGACAGGGUCUCACCGAGUUGCUUUGCACCUCGCCAUUGCUGAGGCUGGUUUUGAACUUGUGAUCCUCCUGUCUCAGUCUCCCAAGCUUCUGGGAUUACAUGCACCACCACGCCUAGCCCCCUUUUGUUAUGAUACAUUAUCUCCUAGUUUCACACCCCUACUAUAUGUGGCACUUAAGAAAAGGAGAAUUGAAAGACAUAUUUACCUAGUGUUUUAUUGAGCACUAACUAUGAACCAGCUACUUUGAAAAAAUGUUUAAAGUAAAUAUUCUUAUUUAAUCUUCUUGAAUGACCCAAGAGGCGGGCUAAUCAUAUCAUUACAUAAUAGGGUAGUGAGACUAUCACAAAUUGACUUGCCCAAGGUCAAAUAACUAAGUGGUACAAUAAGGAGGCAAAUUCAUAUUUAACUUACUCUAAAAUAUUUUAUUUUAAUUAAGGAGCAUUGGCUUUAUAAUCUGAACAGAGUUAGGUUUGAGUAUAGAGUAAGGACAUGCAGGACUAUUGCUUAAACUGUAUUCAUCUGUAAAAUGGGGAUAAUUUUAAUUUAUUUUUAAUAUCAAUCUCAAAAUUAAGAGAGAUAAAGGAGAUAAGGUACUUGUACCAGGCCUGACAUAUAAUAUUUUGAGAAAUAUCAGGGUUUUUUUUUAUAUUAAAAGCUGCUAUUUUUAUUGAUGAUCAUAUAAUUCUUCUUGGGACAGAAAAGUAAACCAUACUAAACUCAUGUAUAGAAAUUGACACAUGUUACUAGAUCUCUGUCCUUUUGUUCUUAUAUAACAAAAUACCUGACACUGGGAAAUUUAUACAGGACAGAAAAUUAUUUUCCUCACAGUUCUGGAGGCUGGGAAGUCCACAUUCAAUGGGUUGGCAGGUUUAGCGGUUUGGUGAGGGCUGCUUUCUGCUUCCAGAAUGACACCUUGAUGCUGUGUCUUCCAGAGGGAAGAACAUUGUGUCCACACAUGGCAGAAGGCAGAAGGGCAAAAAGGAAUAAGCACCCUUCAUUAAGUCUUUUGGUAAGGACACCUAAUCCUAUUCAGGAGGGAGGAAGCCUCCUAGUCUGUCACCUCUUUACAGGCUCUCCUUAAAAUACUGUCACAAUGGCAACACCUAUAUUUUAGAAGGGACACAUUUAAACCAUAGCAUAUACCAAGCUCCAUAAGCUGUGAAGGAGGCCAGAUCUUGCAUUGUUGACAAUAUAGUCCUCUACUGACAUCUGAAAUCCCAUUUCCUAACCCUAUGGCCAAAAAGUUAUUUGAAGACCUGGUUGUUUUGGUCUCUUUCCUUAGAAUCUGUUUUUUUCUGGUCAGCAACUACCUAUACAAUUUAAUGCCAGACUUUCUUUUUUGGUCAGCACACCUGUCUGAAAGCUUCCUACUAGACUGAAGUGAUCUAUUUUCAAUCCUUAGUGAGACUCUCUUUGGAUUAAAGGUCAGGCAUCCACAUCUGCAGCUCUCACUGUCCUCCUUCAGCUGCCUGUGCAAAUAGCAAUGCUACAUUGACUUGUUUUGCUGUCUCGCUCCUGCCUCUCUGGCUCCCAGUCAGAUAUUAAGGCCUUAUGCUGGCUGGAUGCUUUCUUGCUUUUGUCUCUGGUUUUAGGAUUUGAAAUGCAGGAUACCCAGACCCAAAAUUAUUUAAACAAAACAAAAAUUAAAAACAAUACAAUCACAACCUUUAUUUGCACAUGGCAUAUGUGGUAUUUUAAAUUCUACAUAUGUUGAAAAUUUUUCUUGCUGUAAUAUAGUUUUUGUUUUCUUUGCUUUCUCAACCUUGGAAAGUGUGCCUUGUUUCUAGGAAACAGAAUUCAAAAUCCAAGUCAGUCUUUAGUAACUUAAUGGUCCUGGUGGGGGCAGGGAGAGUGGGCUCCAGUAGUUUCAUAAAUCCCAGUAUUUUAUUUUUCCAGGUUAGUAUAUGUGGAAGAAAUAUCUCAAUGUCUGCCAUGUGCCAGAGGAAACUCUUGUGGCACAGGUCAUCAAUUUGGAAAAUAGAAAAGGUCCAGGAGUCUGCAGGGCUGACAUAUAUAAGGAGAGUCAAGCUAACUCUGGUUACUCUUUUAAAAAAUAUUGGAACAAAGGAUUUAUAACAACAAGAUGUGAAAUCCAGCUCAAGUUAUGAAAGACUUUCCUGAUGAUUAGAAGAAUUUAAAAGUCUCUCUGAGAAAGAGUGUGUGUGUGUAAGAGAGAAAGAACUCAUUGCUGGAAAUUUGAAGCAGAGGCUGUGUGAUCUGAUGAAAAGUAAGCUAUAUAGAGCCUUUUCCAAUUUUUGCUUUCUAAAUUCUUUCGAGUAUUUAAAACUAUUGAACCACAUUGAAAUUAGAGAAAGGCUUUUAUAACUCAACUAACUUUGGCAAAUAAAUUUGUUUAUUUGUAUCCUAUAUUCAACCCCCUUCCAAAGGCAGGAGACUCUGACAUAUUGGCUUAUAAUACAUUAUAUUAUAUUGAGCACAUUGCUCAAUACACAUACAUCUUCAAACUUCCCUUGUCUCCAUCCGCCCAUCACCAAAUUCACCAAAUCUGCUCAAUUCAUCAAAUCAGUGUUCUUAAUAGCAGAUAACCAUACCUGAAGUCCUUUGCCUUAGAAUGCAUGUUAUUUUCUUAUUUUACUAUGCUGUUUUCAACUUAUACUUCUCUUUUUAUGCAGACUUGAAGAAGAUGGGAGGAAGACAUUUGUUGAGAAAGACACUGUUAGUUUCCUAUUCAGUAUGCUUUUCUCCUUUCUUUCUUUCUAACACAAUCCACAUUUUUGGCCCAUCUUCAGUAAUAAAAAUCAUGUUGUCAGACUCCUUUGCAGCUAGAGGAAGUUUCGUGAUACUGUGGAGAUUUAACUGGAAUUCUGCUGAGGAUUCUUCAAGGCCUAUUCCUACCUUGAGUGUGGAUUUGUGAUUGGAGCAAAGACAGCUAUCUUGAGGCCAUCAGAAGAAGGCUGAAUGGAUUAUAGAAUUAGCAGCCCUGAUAUUGGUGAUAUUAUAUUGAACAAGUAUCAAGAGUUGUCUCCCUCUGGACUUCUUGCUAGAUGACAAUAAAAAACUAUUCAUUUGUUUAAAUCACUACAUUUGGGUCUUCCACUACUUGAAAUUAAAAGUAUUGGUAAUUGAUAAUUUGCCUGUGGCCUUUAUUCAAUAGUCAACAACCACUAAUAGGGCUUGGGCCAUAACUUUAUACAAAGGUGAGUGAGACAUGGGCCCGACCUUCAGAGAGAUCUGAACCUCAGUCUCAAGGCUUAAAGAAGUCAGGCAACAACCCUAAUGGGAAAAGUGAAAUAUUCUGCUGUGUCUUUCCACAGCAUAAAUGGGCUAUAGAGCUAUGGGGUGUAUCUACUGGAAUGACUGGAGAGCUGCUGGGUCAGGAAGAAGCUCAUUUAACCUUGCACUCGAACUCUGCUCUCUUCAUGUACUUCUGAAGGUUGUGCUGAGGUAUUGGUGGCUUUGGGACUUGGUGAUUUAGCUGUUGAAAAGAAAGAGUUAUUGGCAUUGUUUACCCAGGUUUCAUGAGAAUGUUAAAUAGUACUAAUUUUCUGAGUAUUUAUUUAGCUUUGUUCGUUUAAAAGGUACAUUACCACUGUAAACUGUGAAUAUUUAGAGAUUUCUAUUUAAAAACCAUGUGAAUGCUCUUUGUAAGAUAUGUUUUCAAAGUGACAUUUUUUCCCAAAUACCUUUAUGGUCAUGUAUUAGUAUUUUCAGACAAAAUUAUAUAUAUAUAUAUAAAUGUGUGUGUGUGUCUAUAUAUGUAUAUAUAUAUUCUUUUCAAAACUCUAUGUAAAUGAUGUCUUUAAAAAUAGCCUCUAUAAAAUAAAAUCUUUAAAUAGAAAAAAAUCCCCAGAGGAAAUACACCAAAUGUUCAUCUAAUGCCAUUGAAUGUUGGGAUUUUAUGUGAUCAAGAAAAUCUUCUUUCUACUUUUCAGACUUUAUUCUAAUUUUAUUGUAAUUGGGAAGCAUUAUUUUUAUACUCUAAGAAGAACAAGUAUAAGGAAUUAUGUAUCAAGUAAUGACAAAUGAAUUGACAUAGAAACAGCAGAACCAUUUCAAUGUGUGUUUAUAUAAAUAGAUCUAUAUAAUUAUCAUUAAGUAUCAUAAGCUCAUACUGCUUAAAAAGAACAGUUCUAUUUACAUAAAUUGAAGUUGGAUUUUAUUACAAUAUACACUCAAUAAGUUAGAUCCUAUUCUAAAGAGAACAAGAUAAUGGUGAUAUUAAAGCCACUAUAUAUAA
Ictidomys tridecemlineatus (thirteen-lined ground squirrel) is the source of this 9670-nucleotide non-coding RNA. The record is from RefSeq and is a predicted model, not a curated record. Lineage: Eukaryota; Metazoa; Chordata; Mammalia; Rodentia; Sciuridae.